CACCUCACCAACUGGUCCGCCCCAGGAACAACUUCAGGCUGGCUCACCACCUUGGGAGAGUAAUCUUAGAGUAUUCCAGAAGAUGUCCCCCAGAAUCCCAAGGGCACCAGCAGUUAAAACUUUCAAAUAGAAGCAUUGAUAAGAAUGAAACAGCAAUACAAGAUUUACUUCCACAAGCCAACUGAUGGAGAAACCCCAGGAAUAAGUUUUAUUCAAAACCCGUCACCUCGAACAUCACCUUCCUGCAGCCUGUUUCAGAGCACAAUCCUCAAAGAAAAGGAAACAUUGCUGAAUGGUACACCACAAAUGGUGUAAAUUAGUCAACAGGAAGCAUGUCCAUCACAGGGAGAGAAUGUAGACUUCUCACACGCCAUCAGGGAGCCUUGAGCUUGAACUCCAUCUUCCCGUAGUUCAUUACCUCGGCACUCUUCACUCUUGACUUUUGUUCUGCUUUAUAAAGGAAAGAGAAUAACUUCAAUUCCAC
Dipodomys ordii (Ord's kangaroo rat) is the source of this 484-nucleotide long non-coding RNA. RefSeq lists it as uncharacterized. The transcript has 3 exons. The record is from RefSeq and is a predicted model, not a curated record. NCBI's taxonomy places the organism in Eukaryota, Metazoa, Chordata, Mammalia, Rodentia, Heteromyidae.